RNAcentral lists this ribosomal RNA (495 nucleotides) under uncultured bacterium. Its description in RNAcentral is "bacterial SSU rRNA". It matches the Rfam family "Bacterial small subunit ribosomal RNA", at positions 903 to 1397 of the family's 1533-position model. The record is from RNAcentral.
AAAUGAAUAGACGGGGGCCCGCACAAGCGGUGGAGCAUGUGGUUUAAUUCGAUGCAACGCGAAGAACCUUACCUACUCUUGACAUCCAGAGAAGCCUGCGGAGACGCGGGUGUGCCUUCGGGAGCUCUGAGACAGGUGCUGCAUGGCUGUCGUCAGCUCGUGUUGUGAAAUGUUGGGUUAAGUCCCGCAACGAGCGCAACCCUUAUCCUUACUUGCCAGCACGUAAUGGUGGGAACUGUAGGGAGACUGCCGGUGAUAAACCGGAGGAAGGUGGGGACGACGUCAAGUCAUCAUGGCCCUUACGAGUAGGGCUACACACGUGCUACAAUGGCGCAUACAGAGGGUUGCGAGCUAGUGAUAGUAAGCGAAUCUCACAAAGUGCGUCGUAGUCCGGAUUGGAGUCUGCAACUCGACUCCAUGAAGUCGGAAUCGCUAGUAAUCGUGGAUCAGAAUGCCACGGUGAAUACGUUCCCGGGCCUUGUACACACCGCCCGU